GGAGAGGUGGCAGAGCGGUCGAAUGCGGCGGUCUCGAAAACCGUUGUCCUACGUAAGAGGGACCGGGGGUUCGAAUCCCCCCCUCUCCG
RNAcentral lists this transfer RNA (89 nucleotides) under Bacteroidota bacterium. RNAcentral's name for it is "tRNA-Ser". It matches the Rfam family "tRNA". From Rfam's summary of the family: Transfer RNA (tRNA) molecules are approximately 80 nucleotides in length. Their secondary structure includes four short double-helical elements and three loops (D, anti-codon, and T loops). RNAcentral also lists the same sequence under 1 other name. Lineage: Bacteria; Pseudomonadati; Bacteroidota. The record is from RNAcentral.